UUAAUUGAAACCAAAAUAGAGGUAAAUCACUGUUAAUGAUUAAAUUGAGUAACUCCACAACUCCAAUUAAA
Molecule: transfer RNA, 71 nt
Filed under: Brundinia marina
Lineage: Eukaryota; Metazoa; Arthropoda; Insecta; Coleoptera; Staphylinidae
Description: tRNA-Asn
Source: RNAcentral